RNAcentral lists this long non-coding RNA (434 nucleotides) under Cricetulus griseus (Chinese hamster). RNAcentral describes it as "lncRNA (ENSCGRG00015041324.1)". Lineage: Eukaryota; Metazoa; Chordata; Mammalia; Rodentia; Cricetidae. The record is from RNAcentral.
AGCACUUCCAAUUCCCCAUGCACUUUCUUUUGUAUUCACAGAUGUGUUCUAAAUGAAGGUUUGUUUUUUUUUGUUUUUUGUUUUGUUUUGUUUUUAUGGCUACUGUGUGGAAAAUGAAACUGGAAGUCAGAGGGAUUAAGCUGAGUCUUCUGUGGUCCUCUGUGGUCUUCUCAUCCUGGGAGAACAAUCUUCAUGACCGGCUGCCUGGGUUUAGAGUGAGCAUGGACACAUACCUCUGGACAUGCACAUGAGGUGGCUUCGGGUUCUGAAUGGAAAGAAGAAAGCAAGCUCAGCACAGCAUUUGUUUCCAUUGCUUCCUGACUGACACCAUGUGACCAACCUCCCUCAGUCCUGCUGCCAUCCUCAAACUACCGGGAGUGGACAGAACUCUUCUUAACAAUGCCCACUGAGGAUCAAGAGAGGACAAGCAUCCA